GAACCCUUGGCACAGUGGUAGCGCGUGAGAUUCCAGCCUGCGGAGUGAUCCGCCAAGGGAAGUCCUCAAGGUCGUCCGUUCGAUCCGGGCAGGGUUCA
RNAcentral lists this transfer RNA (98 nucleotides) under Trametes sanguinea. Its description in RNAcentral is "tRNA-Trp". The record is from RNAcentral. Lineage: Eukaryota; Fungi; Basidiomycota; Agaricomycetes; Polyporales; Polyporaceae. RNAcentral also lists the same sequence under 1 other name.